This 1013-nucleotide ribosomal RNA is filed under the name uncultured Actinomycetes bacterium. RNAcentral's name for it is "bacterial SSU rRNA". It matches the Rfam family "Bacterial small subunit ribosomal RNA", at positions 76 to 1108 of the family's 1533-position model. The record is from RNAcentral. Lineage: Bacteria; Bacillati; Actinomycetota; Actinomycetes.
GAGCUUGCUCUCCGGAUCAGUUUUCGAACGGGUGAGUAACACGUGGGCAACCUGCCCCUGACUUUGGGAUAACUCCUCGAAAGAGGGGCUAAUACCGGAUACGACCACUGGCGGCAUCGCCUGGUGGUGGAAAGCUCCGGCGGUCAGGAUGGGCCCGCGGCUAUCAGCUUGUUGGAGGGGUAACGGCCCACCAAGGCGACGACGGGUAGCCGGCCUGAGAGGGCGACCGGCCACACUGGGACUGAGACACGGCCCAGACUCCUACGGGAGGCAGCAGUGGGGAAUAUUGGUCAAUGGGCGCAAGCCUGAACCAGCAACGCCGCGUGAGGGAUGAAGGCCUUCGGGUUGUAAACCUCUUUCAGCAGGGACGAAGCGAAAGUGACGGUACCUGCAGAAGAAGCACCGGCUAACUAUGUGCCAGCAGCCGCGGUAAUACAUAGGGUGCAAGCGUUGUCCGGAAUUAUUGGGCGUAAAGAGCUCGUAGGUGGUCGAUCACGUCGGAUGUGAAAAUCUGAGGCUUAACCUCAGACCUGCAUUCGAUACGGGUUGACUGGAGUGUGGUAGGGGAGACUGGAAUUCCUGGUGUAGCGGUGGAAUGCGCAGAUAUCAGGAGGAACACCGAUGGCGAAGGCAGGUCUCUGGGCAUUUACUGACACUGAGGAGCGAAAGCGUGGGGAGCGAACAGGAUUAGAUACCCUGGUAGUCCACGCCGUAAACGAUGUCAACUAACCGUUGGGUUCUUUAAGAACUUAGUGGUGGAGCUAACGUAUUAAGUUGACCGCCUGGGGAGUACGGCCGCAAGGCUAAAACUCAAUGAAUUGACGGGGGCCCGCACAACCGGUGGAGCAUGUGGUUUAAUUCGAUGCACGCGAAGAACCUUACCUACCUUGACAUGUAGCGAAUCCUUUAGAGAUAGAGGAGUGCCCUUCGGGAACGCUAACCGGGUGGUGCUGCUGUUGUCGGCUCGUGUCGUGAGAAUUUUGGUUAAGUCCCGUAACGAGGCCAACCCUUAC